This is a non-coding RNA of Nippostrongylus brasiliensis, 72 nucleotides long. The record is from Rfam. NCBI's taxonomy places the organism in Eukaryota, Metazoa, Nematoda, Chromadorea, Rhabditida, Heligmosomidae.
ACAUCGGUAGCACAGUGGUUAGUGCAGUCUGCCGGAAACAGAAAUACGCGGGUUCAAUUCCCGGCCGAUGUC